Small nuclear RNA from Psammomys obesus (fat sand rat), 104 nucleotides. The record is from RefSeq and is a predicted model, not a curated record. NCBI's taxonomy places the organism in Eukaryota, Metazoa, Chordata, Mammalia, Rodentia, Muridae.
GUGCUCACUUCGGCAGCACAUAGGCUAAAAUUGGAACGAUACAGAGAUUAGCAUGGCCCCUGUGAAAGCAUGACACACAAAUUCAUGAAGCUUUCCAUAUUUUU